CCUACGGGGGGCAGCAGUGAGGAAUCUUCCGCAAUGGGCGAAAGCCUGACGGAGCGACGCCGCGUGAACGAAGAAGGCCGUGAGGUUGUAAAGUUCUUUUCGGGAGGGGGAACAACCGUGGCAGGGAAUGGCCGCGGGAUGACGUGAAUCCCGGAAUAAGCCCCGGCUAACUACGUGCCAGCAGCCGCGGUAACACGUAGGGGGCGAGCGUUGUUCGGAAUCAUUGGGCGUAAAGGGCGUGCAGGCGGUCCUGCAAGUCCGGCGUGAAAGACCCCGGCCCAACCGGGGGGACGCGCUGGAAACUGCAGGGCUUGAGUACAGGAGGGGAUGCCGGAAUUCCAGGUGUAGGGGUGAAAUCUGUAGAUAUCUGGAAGAACACCAAUGGCGAAGGCAGGCAUCUGGCCAUGUACUGACGCUGAGGCGCGAAGGUGCGGGGAGCAAACAGGCUUAGAUACCCUAGUAGUC
RNAcentral lists this ribosomal RNA (465 nucleotides) under uncultured Spirochaeta sp. RNAcentral describes it as "bacterial SSU rRNA". It matches the Rfam family "Bacterial small subunit ribosomal RNA", at positions 338 to 795 of the family's 1533-position model. Lineage: Bacteria; Pseudomonadati; Spirochaetota; Spirochaetia; Spirochaetales; Spirochaetaceae. The record is from RNAcentral.